Molecule: ribosomal RNA, 277 nt
Filed under: Ruegeria pomeroyi
Lineage: Bacteria; Pseudomonadati; Pseudomonadota; Alphaproteobacteria; Rhodobacterales; Roseobacteraceae
Description: partial 16S ribosomal RNA
Rfam family: Bacterial small subunit ribosomal RNA
Source: RNAcentral
GUAAGCUCUUUCGCCAGGGAUGAUAAUGACAGUACCUGGUAAAGAAACCCCGGCUAACUCCGUGCCAGCAGCCGCGGUAAUACGGAGGGGGUUAGCGUUGUUCGGAAUUACUGGGCGUAAAGCGCGCGUAGGCGGAUCAGAAAGUUGGGGGUGAAAUCCCGGGGCUCAACCCCGGAACUGCCUCCAAAACUCCUGGUCUUGAGUUCGAGAGAGGUGAGUGGAAUUCCGAGUGUAGAGGUGAAAUUCGUAGAUAUUCGGAGGAACACCAGUGGCGAAG